GGCCAGUUAGCUCAGUCUGUUAGAGCGUGAUGCUGAUAAUACCAAGGUCACGGGUUUGAUCUCCGUUCAGUCCC
Molecule: transfer RNA, 74 nt
Filed under: Apaloderma vittatum (bar-tailed trogon)
Lineage: Eukaryota; Metazoa; Chordata; Aves; Trogoniformes; Trogonidae
Rfam family: tRNA
About the family: Transfer RNA (tRNA) molecules are approximately 80 nucleotides in length. Their secondary structure includes four short double-helical elements and three loops (D, anti-codon, and T loops).
Source: Rfam by way of RNAcentral